AGUGAACGCUGGCAGUAGGCCUAACACAUGCAAGUCGAACGGCAGCACAGUAAGAGCUUGCUCUUACGGGUGGCGAGUGGCGGACGGGUGAGGAAUACAUCGGAAUCUACUUUUUCGUGGGGGAUAACGUAGGGAAACUUACGCUAAUACCGCAUACGACCUACGGGUGAAAGCAGGGGAUCUUCGGACCUUGCGCGAUUGAAUGAGCCGAUGUCGGAUUAGCUAGUUGGCGGGGUAAAGGCCCACCAAGGCGACGAUCCGUAGCUGGUCUGAGAGGAUGAUCAGCCACACUGGAACUGAGACACGGUCCAGACUCCUACGGGAGGCAGCAGUGGGGAAUAUUGGACAAUGGGCGCAAGCCUGAUCCAGCCAUACCGCGUGGGUGAAGAAGGCCUUCGGGUUGUAAAGCCCUUUUGUUGGGAAGGAAAAGCAGCAGGUUAAUACCCCGCUGUUCUGACGGUACCCAAAGAAUAAGCACCGGCUAACUUCGUG
Molecule: ribosomal RNA, 492 nt
Filed under: uncultured bacterium
Lineage: Bacteria
Description: partial 16S ribosomal RNA
Rfam family: Bacterial small subunit ribosomal RNA
Source: RNAcentral